RNAcentral lists this unclassified non-coding RNA (2859 nucleotides) under Hevea brasiliensis (rubber tree). Lineage: Eukaryota; Viridiplantae; Streptophyta; Magnoliopsida; Malpighiales; Euphorbiaceae. The record is from RNAcentral.
GGGAAACGUACUUCUUGGCGUUACCUAUAGCCCAACUCUUCCCAAUAUCCGGCGGGAAAGUGGACGAAUUUUCCCAUUCUUUCCUACUCACUCACCCUUAGCAGUACCUCAAUACUUUCUCGGGAAAAUUAAACCCCGAGAAACAAACAGAAGAAAACGAUUUUUUUUUUCUCUCACCAUGACAAAAUCUUACGAUCCCCGUACCCAAACCUACUCCUCUCCAAGACCGCGAGUUCAUCUCCCUACAAACCCCGACCUUUCCCUUACCUCUUUCCUCUUCCACUCCACUUUUUCUUCCUCUUGCACCGCUGCUCUUAUCGACGCUGACUCCGGCGACACUCUAACCUUCGAGCAGCUCAGGAUCCAAGUGUCCAAGCUGGCUCACGUCUUGCUCGAGCUUAACAUAGUUAAAAACGAUGUCGUUCUUAUUUUGGCCCCGAAUUCUAUCCAUUUCCCCGUUUGCUUCCUCGCAAUCGUCUCCACCGGUGCUAUCGCUUCCACCUGUAAUCCGGGGUAUACUACAGCUGAGAUCUCUAAGCAAGUCAAAGACUGUAAUCCGAAGCUCAUAAUUACCAUCCCUCAACUUCUCCACAAAGUAAAACCGUUCAAUUUGUCAUUAAUUCUAUUAAAUUCUCCAAAUUCCGACGGUUUAGUAUCAAACUCUAAGAUUUGGAAUUAUUCAGAUUUGAUAAAAUUAUCCGGCGAAGUUUCCGAUUUACCGGUGAAUGAUGUGAAACAAAACGACGUCGCUGCUCUUUUCUACUCUUCCGGCACCACAGGCACGAGCAAGGGAGUGAUAUUGACUCACAGGAACUUCAUUGCCACAUCGGUUAUGGUGACGGCUGAUCAAGAUAGAUACAUGGAACCGGAAAACGUGUUCUUGUGUUUCCUGCCGAUGUUUCACAUAUUUGGAUUUGCGGUAACUACUUACUCGCAGCUUAGGAGAGGGAAUGCUGUGGUUUCGAUGGAGAAGUUCGAGCUGGAUAAGAUGUUAAGGAGUAUCGAGAGGUAUAGAGUUACGCAUUUGUACGUGGUGCCGCCAGUGAUGAUUGCCUUGGCGAAGCAGAACGCUGUGAAGAAAUUUGAUUUGUCGUCAUUGAAGCUCAUUGGAUCAGGGGCGGCGCCAAUGGGGAAAGACGUGAUGGAGGAGUGCGCGAAGAAUCUACCUCAUGUCGAUAUUAUCCAGGGAUAUGGCAUGACAGAAACUUGUGGAAUUAUUUCAAUAGAGAAUCCAAGGGAAGGAACUCGGCUAUCCGGUUCAACUGGGGUACUUGUUCCUGGUGUUGAAUCCCAAAUAGUUAGUGUAGAAACGUCAAAGCCUCUUCCACCUAAUGAACUGGGAGAAAUAUGUCUUCGAGGAGCAAAUAUGAUGCAAGGUUAUUUUAACAAUCUGCAAGCUACAAAGCUGACAAUAGAUGGGCAAGGUUGGGUACACACUGGAGAUCUUGGAUAUUUUAAUGAAGAAGGACAAUUAUUUGUUGUGGACCGUAUUAAAGAGCUUAUCAAGUGUAAUGGCUUUCAGGUAAAAUUUGGGUGAUGGACUGAUAGUCAAAUACUAAAAUGUAUUAGUCUAUAGAAUAUAAAUCCAAAAGCGUACUACUUUUGGAGCUAAGCUUCCUGUUUUUUCCAGGUUGGGUAACUGAUCCAAAUUAAUAUCUUAAUGUAACUAUGCUGACUGAGACCUUUCAAUUUGUUCACUAAAUCCUUAUUUUUUAUGGAUGCACUAGAGUGUUAUCGGAUUUUGUCCUCUUUCAUGGAAAUGAAUUCCAGCUUUCCUCUGCUUUAUUUAUUAAUGGUGCUGUGAUGAUACUCACUGUUAAUCUGAAAACAUGAAAGCACUUCUUUAUGCAUUUCAUCAUUCAUAACACCAUCCCAAUAGUCUGGUUCAAUUUUCUAGUUAAUGGUUUAAAUUUCUAAUACUAACAUAACUUGCUGCGUAAACUACUAAAUUUCAGUUUUCAAGUUACUAAAAGUUCCCCAUUCUUGUAGUUGUCACCCUCAUCUACAUUGAGUGCUCAAUAUCUUCAGAAUUUAGGUGCCUGAAACAGUCUAUAUUUAGAAGCCUACUUAAAGUUUUGUAUGGCCCUGCUGUCAAAGCCCUGUUAUGCAGGCAGGGGCUUCAGAGGUUGGAUUAUACAUAUAGGCUAUAGCAAAUUUGUGGACAUUUAAACUCACAUUCCAAUUUAUUCUAUUCUAAAUGCAUUCUUGAUAACCUAGUGAAUUAAUUGGUCAAGGAAUCAAGUUUUAUGUUUCUGAUUUGUUAUUGGUAGGUCGCACCAGCGGAGCUUGAGGGUUUACUGCUUUCUCAUCCUGAAAUAAUAGAUGCUGUUGUCAUCCCAUUCCCUGAUUCUAAAGCUGGGGAGGUCCCAAUUGCAUAUGUUGUUUGCUCCCCUAACAGCUCCCUUACUGAAGAAGAUAUUCAGAAAUAUAUAGCAGAUCAGGUAAUAGACUUACCUACAUUAAUACCCCAAGUAAAACUAAAUUACUAUUAUCAGACUUUUGACUCGAUUUUAUGGAUCUAGUAGAACUCUGUAAAGUGACGACUCUUUUAAUUGUUAUUGUUACGGGGCAUGAUGCUUCUUAUAGCAAAUAUGGUCAGUUGUAUAAUGUAUCACAACAUAGACCAUCUCAUUAAUGGAUCAUGAAUACAUAGAGUUAGAUGUCUAGUGAUAGCAGUAAAUGAUAUUCCAUGGUGGUAAAGUCUUGCCUACACCAAAGAGUACUGCAACGGUUGUGUGCCAAGUACUUCCAGUGUAAUGAUACACGCUCAUUCAUACUUGGCACUUACCUAUUGGUUUGGUAUAAUGCUCAUGGUGCAGGCAAGAAUUUCACUACUGUGUACCUCAUUCUUAUCUUCUU